GGAAUAUUGGACAAUGGGCGCAAGCCUGAUCCAGCCAUGCCGCGUGGGUGAAGAAGGCCUUAGGGUUGUAAAGCUCUUUCACCCGCGAAGAUGAUGACGGUAGCGGGCGAAGAAGCCCCGGCUCACGCCGUGCCAGCAGCCGCGGUAAUACGGAGGGGGCUAGCGUUGUUCGGAAUUACUGGGCGUAAAGCGCGCGUAGGCGGGCUGUUAAGUCGGGGGUGAAAGCCCGGGGCUCAACCCCGGAACUGCCUUCGAUACUGGCAGCCUGGAGUCCGAGAGAGGUGAGUGGAAUUCCGAGUGUAGAGGUGAAAUUCGUAGAUAUUCGGAGGAACACCAGUGGCGAAGGCGGCUCACUGGCUCGGUACUGACGCUGAGGUGCGAAAGCGUGGGGAGCAAAC
Molecule: ribosomal RNA, 398 nt
Filed under: uncultured bacterium
Lineage: Bacteria
Description: bacterial SSU rRNA
Rfam family: Bacterial small subunit ribosomal RNA
Source: RNAcentral